Aphelenchus avenae is the source of this 72-nucleotide non-coding RNA. The record is from the annotation of a GenBank genome assembly. Lineage: Eukaryota; Metazoa; Nematoda; Chromadorea; Rhabditida; Aphelenchidae.
GGGGGUAUAGCUCAGUGGUAGAGCGCCCGCUUCGCAUGCGGGAAGUCAAGGGUUCAAACCCCUUUACCUCCA